Mastomys coucha (southern multimammate mouse) is the source of this 615-nucleotide long non-coding RNA. RefSeq lists it as uncharacterized. The record is from RefSeq and is a predicted model, not a curated record. The transcript has 3 exons. Lineage: Eukaryota; Metazoa; Chordata; Mammalia; Rodentia; Muridae.
UACAUGGGACGGUUGUAUCAAAUUAACAUGCUAAACUAUUUUUCCUUGAAAGGUGUAUGCACCUAUAUCAUACGUGCAAAAUACAGAAAUGUUUCCUGCAAUUGAAUGUGGAUGGGCAAAGAGCUGGCACCCAGGUGGAUUUCCAGUACCAGUUGGAACUUUUUCCAGUGAAGAUCUAAAACCCUCUUCUGAAGAGUCUCAACCAACAGGAGGGAUCGCAACUCUUGUAGCAUGGGGCAGGACUCAGAGAGCACAGAGGAGCUCCAAUGAACAGUGGAGAGCAACAAAACCACACGAGCUGAGAAACUUCCAAUUUUCCUAAAGGAGUUAGAACUCUUCUAUCUAUGCAGCUCAAGAGAGAAUUUCACAGCCGCCAGUCAUCUUCAUGGAUAAAAACAUCACGAACAACUGGCCAACUUCAUCAGUCUCUGAUUGAGACUGUUUCAGAGUCAGCUAUCAGAUGCAACCACCCCCAUCUGCCCUUGGUGAUUAAGAGCUGACACCAGCCCCCGGGAUAGUCUGACCUUGCAUUUUCCACUCCCUGCCUCCUCCCCCCAGUCCCUACCUUCUGGUCUGAUUCUGCGAAAAACUUCUAACAACGGAAAACAUAAAAAA